RNAcentral lists this ribosomal RNA (985 nucleotides) under Coptodon tholloni. RNAcentral describes it as "partial 16S ribosomal RNA". The stretch from base 187 to 985 matches the Rfam family "Bacterial large subunit ribosomal RNA", at positions 568 to 1875 of the family's 2925-position model. Lineage: Eukaryota; Metazoa; Chordata; Actinopteri; Cichliformes; Cichlidae. The record is from RNAcentral.
CGCCCAACAGCUAGCCCGCCCAUCAACCCCAAACUUACCCUAUUUAUACCCCCAGACACACCACCACUAAACAACAAACCAUUUUUCCACCUAAGUACAGGCGAUGAAAAAGGACUCAGGAGCAACAGAGAAAGUACCGCAAGGGAAAGCUGAAAGAGUAAUGAAACAACCCAGUAAAGCAUUAAAAAGCAGAGAGCCCCCUCGUACCUUUUGCAUCAUGAUUUAGCCAGUAAAUCUUAAGCAAAAAGCAUUAUAGUUUAAUUCCCCGAAACUAGGCGAGCUACUCCAAGGCAGUCUAAUUUAUAGGACCACCCCGUCUCUGUGGCAAAAGAGUGGGACGAACUUUGAGUAGAGGUGACAGACCUACCGAGCCUAGUUAUAGCUGGUUGCCUGAAAACUGAAUAGAAGUUCAGCCCUUUAAAUUCUCCCUCCCCGUUGGUUCAAAACCUAACACCGGACAAAAGAAGUUAAAGGAGUUAGUCAAAGGGGGUACAGCCCCUUUGAAACAAGACACAACUUUCCAAGGAGGGUAAAGAUCACAACAAACUUAAAGGUUAAAUGUCUUAGUGGGCCUAAAAGCAGCCAUCCACCCAGAAAGCGUUAAAGCUCGAGCACACACAUCAACCUACCAAUACAGACAACACAAUCUCACCCCCCUUCAACCUAUCAGGCCGUUCCAUAAAAUAUGGAAGCGUUUAUGCUAAAAUGAGUAAUAAGAGAACUCCCUUCUCUCCCCGCACAAGUGUAAGUCGGAACGAACCCUUCACCGACCAUUAACGGCCCCAAAACAAAGAGGGCACUAGACAAAAAAUAAAAAACUAGAAAACCACCUAGCCCCCUACCGUUGACCUCACACUGGUGUGCCGAUCGGGAAAGACUAAAAGAAAAAGAAGGAACUCGGCAAACACAAGCCUCGCCUGUUUACCAAAAACAUCGCCUCUUGAAGCCCAAAAUAUAAGAGGUCCCGCCUGCCCUGUGACUAUAA